CAGAGUGAUGAAAACCUGGAGCUGUAGCUGAUUGAGCAGAAAAUGACGUUGCAAAAGGCCUGCCUGUAGAAUCAGGAA
This is a small nucleolar RNA of Dioscorea cayenensis subsp. rotundata (Guinea yam), 78 nucleotides long. The record is from RefSeq and is a predicted model, not a curated record. NCBI's taxonomy places the organism in Eukaryota, Viridiplantae, Streptophyta, Magnoliopsida, Dioscoreales, Dioscoreaceae.